GACAGAGGGUGCAAACGUUGUUCGGAAUUACUGGGCGUAAAGCGAGUGUAGGCGGUUUGGUAAGUCGGAUGUGAAAGCCCCGGGCUCAACCCGGGAAGUGCACUCGAUACUGCCAAGCUAGAGUAUCGGAGAGGUUGGUGGAAUUCUCGGUGUAGAGGUGAAAUGCGCAGAUAUCAGGAGGAACACCGGUGGCGAAGGCGGGUCUCUGGGCAGUAACUGACGCUGGAGGAGCGAAAGCGUGGGGAGCGAACAGG
This 254-nucleotide ribosomal RNA is filed under the name uncultured bacterium. RNAcentral describes it as "partial 16S ribosomal RNA". It matches the Rfam family "Bacterial small subunit ribosomal RNA", at positions 524 to 776 of the family's 1533-position model. The record is from RNAcentral.